ACGCAUGCGUGCAAGAUCCCAGGGCAUAGCCGCUUGUUCUCCGCCAGCGGUGGACAAGCUGCGUAACGGUUCACACACUGAUGGCGCCUGGAGGUUUGGCGAAAUACUGACAGGAUGCGGCGCCAACGGGAGCGUAGGGCCAAGAUACCCUUUAUAUCAAAUUGUCUAUCCUGGAGCAGAAAAAUCCUGUCUUCAUUGCUAUAGCUACAGAUUCAGAAAUGAGCAUGUAACAAAUUCAGGCCAAAGAGAGGCAAAGGAAAUCAGAGAAACACUGCUCCUGAAAGCUUCUGUCACUCAAGAAUCCAUGAAACAUUCAUGAAGUUCACAUCAGAGUCCUCAGAAGGGAAGAUAGUGUUAAUGUAGAAUUGAUAACACAGAAUGCAGCACUGCUGUGAUCCUUAUAUCUUGGCUGGCCAUCACCUCUUCACUUGGAAAUGAAAAAAAUAAACUGAGUGAAGUAGUGAGAAGAGAAAAAGGGAGAGGAAGGUGCUAUUGUGGAGGUGCAUACCUAACAGUUUGAUAAUGUAGAGGAAGUGAUAGCUUUGUCUGGUGGAAUCUGGGUAAACCUC
RNAcentral lists this non-coding RNA (569 nucleotides) under Pongo abelii (Sumatran orangutan). The record is from RNAcentral. Lineage: Eukaryota; Metazoa; Chordata; Mammalia; Primates; Hominidae.